GGACCAUGGCUCAGUGGUAGAGCAUCUGCUUUGGCGCAUGCAGAAGGUUGCAGGUUCAAUUCCCAGCAUCUCCA
Molecule: transfer RNA, 74 nt
Filed under: Sphaerodactylus townsendi
Lineage: Eukaryota; Metazoa; Chordata; Lepidosauria; Squamata; Sphaerodactylidae
Description: tRNA-Pro
Source: RNAcentral